CCUACGGGCGGCAGCAGUGGGGAAUAUUGCACAAUGGGCGCAAGCCUGAUGCAGCCAUGCCGCGUGUGUGAAGAAGGCCUUCGGGUUGUAAAGCACUUUCAGCGGGGAGGAAGGCGUUAAGGUUAAUAACCUUGGCGAUUGACGUUACCCGCAGAAGAAGCACCGGCUAACUCCGUGCCAGCAGCCGCGGUAAUACGGAGGGUGCAAGCGUUAAUCGGAGUUACUGGGGGUAAAGCGCACGCACGCGGUCGAAAUCCCCGGGCUCAACCUGGGAACUGCAUUCGAAACUGGCAGGCUAGAGUCUUGUAGAGGGGGGUAGAAUUCCAGGUGUAGCGGUGAAAUGCGUAGAGAUCUGGAGGAAUACCGGUGGCGAAGGCGGCCCCCUGGACAAAGACUGACGCUCAGGUGCGAAAGCGUGGGGAGCAAACAGGAUUAGAUACCCUAGUAGUC
Molecule: ribosomal RNA, 450 nt
Filed under: uncultured bacterium
Lineage: Bacteria
Description: partial 16S ribosomal RNA
Rfam family: Bacterial small subunit ribosomal RNA
Source: RNAcentral